RNAcentral lists this ribosomal RNA (810 nucleotides) under uncultured bacterium. RNAcentral describes it as "bacterial SSU rRNA". It matches the Rfam family "Bacterial small subunit ribosomal RNA", at positions 1 to 812 of the family's 1533-position model. The record is from RNAcentral.
AAUUCGCCCUUAGAGUUUGAUCCUGGCUCAGGACGAACGCUGGCGGCGUGCUUAACACAUGCAAGUCGAACGGAGGUUACGAGGAAGCUUGCGAAUUGUAACCUUAGUGGCGGACGGGUGAGUAACGCGUGGAUAACCUGCCUGACAGACCGGGACAACACCGGGAAACUGGUGCUAAUACCGGAUACGCUCAAGAGUGCCCAUGCACACUUGAGGAAAGGAGCAAUCCGCUGACAGAUGGGUCCGCGUCCCAUUAGCUAGUUGGAGGUGUAAAGGACCACCAAGGCGACGAUGGGUAGCCGGCCUGAGAGGGUGGACGGCCACACUGGAACUGAGACACGGUCCAGACUCCUACGGGAGGCAGCAGUGGGGAAUCUUCCGCAAUGGGCGAAAGCCUGACGGAGCAACGCCGCGUGAGUGAUUAAGGCCUUCGGGUUGUAAAACUCUGUCAUCAGGGAAGAAAAUAAUGACGGUACCUGAGGAGGAAGCCCCGGCUAACUACGUGCCAGCAGCCGCGGUAAAACGUAGGGGGCGAGCGUUGUCCGGAAUUACUGGGCGUAAAGGGCGCGUAGGCGGUUGUCCAAGUCAGAGGUGAAAACUCUGGGCUCAACUCAGAGCGUGCCUCUGAAACUGGGCGACUUGAGGGCAGGAGAGGGGAGUGGAAUUCCCAGUGUAGCGGUGAAAUGCGUAGAUAUUGGGAGGAACACCAGUGGCGAAGGCGACUCUCUGGCCUGUUUCUGACGCUGAGGCGCGAAAGCGUGGGGAGCGAACGGGAUUAGAUACCCCGGUAGUCCACGCCGUAAACGAUGG